UUGUUGUUGAAGAAUAAUGGAUAGUUUUUGAAUACUAAGAAGUGACUCUGUAGAAUAAAUCAGAGAUUGAUUUAUCAGUUAUUGAUUAUGUAAUUGGAGUAUUGAGUGAUUGAAUUAUAUGAAAAGUUAUUAGAAGAUUGAUUAUGGAUGGAAGAUUAUGAUUGUUGUUUAUUGAGAGUUGUAUGUGUGUGUUUCAACAGAAGAAGUCUGUGAUUACAGGAAUUAUAUGAAUUCAGAUUGGUUGGAGUGAAGUUUGUAAUAUGUGGUGUUGGAUGGAAUUUAUUGAAUUUUGAGCGGUCUUUUGAAAGUGCAGGAUUCCACAUUGUGGUUAUCAGUUGAUGAAGGAGUAUUGUUACUGGGAGGAAGCAUUGUAGUAUUUCUUAGUAUUUUAGUGGUUUGGAAU
This 403-nucleotide long non-coding RNA is filed under the name Physcomitrium patens. RNAcentral's name for it is "long non-coding RNA (PPAT_LNC011187)". The record is from RNAcentral. Lineage: Eukaryota; Viridiplantae; Streptophyta; Bryopsida; Funariales; Funariaceae.